GUGCCAGCAGCCGCGGUAAGACAGAGGGUGCAAACGUUGUUCGGAAUUACUGGGCGUAAAGCGUGUGUAGGCGGCCAUGAUAGUCGGAUGUGAAAGCCCCGGGCUCAACCCGGGAAGUGCACCCGAUACUGCAUGGCUCGAGUACCGGAGAGGUUGGUGGAAUUCUCGGUGUAGAGGUGAAAUUCGUAGAUAUCGAGAGGAACACCGGUGGCGAAGGCGGCCAACUGGACGGAUACUGACGCUGAGACACGAAAGCGUGGGGAGCAAACAGGAUUAGAAACCCUCGUAGUCC
This 292-nucleotide ribosomal RNA is filed under the name uncultured bacterium. RNAcentral describes it as "partial 16S ribosomal RNA". It matches the Rfam family "Bacterial small subunit ribosomal RNA", at positions 505 to 796 of the family's 1533-position model. The record is from RNAcentral.